RNAcentral lists this ribosomal RNA (231 nucleotides) under uncultured bacterium. Its description in RNAcentral is "partial 16S ribosomal RNA". It matches the Rfam family "Bacterial small subunit ribosomal RNA", at positions 1271 to 1500 of the family's 1533-position model. The record is from RNAcentral.
AUCCCUUAAAGCCAUUCUCAGUCGGAUUGUAGGCUGAAACUCGCCUACAUGAAGCUGGAGUUACUAGUAAUCGCAGAUCAGAAUGCUGCGGUGAAUGCGUUCCCGGGUCUUGUACACACCGCCCGUCACACCACGGAAGUUGGGGGCGCCCGAAGCCACUUAGCUAACCCUUUUGGGAAGCGAGUGUCGAAGGUGAAAUCAAUAACUGGGGUGAAGUCGUAACAAGGUAUC